Molecule: long non-coding RNA, 769 nt
Organism: Salvia miltiorrhiza (redroot sage)
Lineage: Eukaryota; Viridiplantae; Streptophyta; Magnoliopsida; Lamiales; Lamiaceae
Exons: 2
Source: RefSeq, a predicted model, not a curated record
UCUAUAUAUGUAAUUGAUAGUAUGCUCAUACUAUUAAAUAAGCUACAAGCAAAUAUUGUUAUGUUGAAAAAAGGAAUUGCGUGAAUUAAUAGUUACCAAUUAACUGAUUGGAUAUUUUGAGGUUAUUUUAAAGUAUUACUAUUUUUUUGUUUUUCUUUUUUUAAGUCUAGAUGUGAGAUGUGAAAUAUAUGGUAGAGAAUGCACAUAUGCGUGUAUCUGUGAUCCUUAAACCAAGUGAUGGAGACUACUUAUCUUUGACUAUUCCUUUUAAUGAUGAAUGAUGAUUUAUUGAUGCAGAUUUGAUGGAAAGAUGAUGCUGGAAAAUAUUGUUUGCUAAUACUGUGCCUCUAUUGAAGUGAAUUUCAGGUGUGCCACUCAUUGGGAGGUGGAACUGGUCUCGUUCUGAAUGGGAGCACUUUUGAUUUCUAAAAUCAGGGAAGAGUAUCCAGACCGCAUGAUGCUCACUUUCUCUGUGUUCCCAUCUCCUAAAGUGUCGGACACCGUUGUUGAGCCUUAUAAUGCCACUCUGUCUCAAGUUGAUGCAAAUUGAUGCACCGUUUUCCAAUCGAUAAUGCAGUUGAAAACUGUGCUAUGAGGACUACUACUAACGAGAAGGCUGAAGCAGAGAACAUCGUUUUAAAUGUCUAGCAAGUUGUGCGCAUCUGUAAUAUGUUUUUUCUUUUAAUUAAGACAUGUAGCUAAAUAAAUAAAUGUGAUGUUUUCAUUAUAUUUGGAUGAUAAUGUAUGAAUAUUUUUGGAUGUUAUAUAA